GACGAACGCUGGCGGCGUGCUUAACACAUGCAAGUCGAACGGAAAGGCCCUGCUUUUGUGGGGUGCUCGAGUGGCGAACGGGUGAGUAACACGUGAGUAACCUGCCCUUGACUUUGGGAUAACUUCAGGAAACUGGGGCUAAUACCGGAUAGGAGCUCCUGCUGCAUGGUGGGGGUUGGAAAGUUUCGGCGGUUGGGGAUGGACUCGCGGCUUAUCAGCUUGUUGGUGGGGUAGUGGCUUACCAAGGCUUUGACGGGUAGCCGGCCUGAGAGGGUGACCGGCCACAUUGGGACUGAGAUACGGCCCAGACUCCUACGGGAGGCAGCAGUGGGGAAUAUUGCACAAUGGGCGGAAGCCUGAUGCAGCAACGCCGCGUGCGGGAUGACGGCCUUCGGGUUGUAAACCGCUUUCGCCUGUGACGAGGCGUGAGUGACGGUAAUGGGGAAAGAAGCACCGGCGAACUACGU
Molecule: ribosomal RNA, 467 nt
Filed under: uncultured bacterium
Lineage: Bacteria
Description: partial 16S ribosomal RNA
Rfam family: Bacterial small subunit ribosomal RNA
Source: RNAcentral